RNAcentral lists this ribosomal RNA (440 nucleotides) under uncultured Caulobacter sp. Its description in RNAcentral is "bacterial SSU rRNA". It matches the Rfam family "Bacterial small subunit ribosomal RNA", at positions 338 to 795 of the family's 1533-position model. The record is from RNAcentral. Lineage: Bacteria; Pseudomonadati; Pseudomonadota; Alphaproteobacteria; Caulobacterales; Caulobacteraceae.
CCUACGGGAGGCAGCAGUGGGGAAUCUUGCGCAACGGGCGAAAGCCUGACGCAGCCAUGCCGCGUGAAUGAUGAAGGUCUUAGGAUUGUAAAAUUCUUUCACCGGGGACGAUAAUGACGGUACCCGGAGAAGAAGCCCCGGCUAACUUCGUGCCAGCAGCCGCGGUAAUACGAAGGGGGCUAGCGUUGCUCGGAAUUACUGGGCGUAAAGGGAGCGUAGGCGGACUGUUAAGUUAGAGGUGAAAGCCCAGGGCUCAACCUUGGAAUUGCCUUUGAUACUGGCAGUCUUGAGUACGGAAGAGGUAUGUGGAACUCCGAGUGUAGAGGUGAAAUUCGUAGAUAUUCGGAAGAACACCAGUGGCGAAGGCGACAUACUGGUCCGUUACUGACGCUGAGGCUCGAAAGCGUGGGGAGCAAACAGGAUUAGAUACCCCUGUAGUC